AUUGAACGCUGGCGGCAUGCCUUACACAUGCAAGUCGAACGGCAGCACGGGAGCAAUCCUGGUGGCGAGUGGCGAACGGGUGAGUAAUACAUCGGAACGUGCCCAGUAGUGGGGGAUAACCCGGCGAAAGCCGGACUAAUACCGCAUACGACCUACGGGUGAAAGCAGGGGAUCGCAAGACCUUGCGCUAUUGGAGCGGCCGAUGUCAGAUUAGCUUGUUGGNGGGGUAAAAGCCUACCAAGGCAACGAUCUGUAGCUGGUCUGAGAGGACGACCAGCCACACUGGGACUGAGACACGGCCCAGACUCCUACGGGAGGCAGCAGUGGGGAAUUUUGGACAAUGGGCGCAAGCCUGAUCCAGCCAUGCCGCGUGC
This 374-nucleotide ribosomal RNA is filed under the name uncultured bacterium. Its description in RNAcentral is "bacterial SSU rRNA". It matches the Rfam family "Bacterial small subunit ribosomal RNA", at positions 30 to 404 of the family's 1533-position model. The record is from RNAcentral.